GGCGUCAAGGACGAACGGCUGGCGGCGUGCUUCAUACAUGCAAGUCGAACGAUAAGGCGCCUUCGGGCGUACAUAGUGGCGGACGGGUGAGUAAUAUGUAGAGAAUCUGCCCUAGAGUGGGGGACAACCGUUGGAAACGACAGCUAAUACCCCAUAUGAGCGUAGUUGAGAUACUAUUCUUGAAAACUCCGGUGCUCUGGGAUGAGUCUGCAUCUGAUUAGCUAGUUGGGGGUGUAAUGGACCACCAAGGCGAUGAUCAGUAGCUGGUUUGAGAGGAUGAUCAGCCACAAUGGGACUGAGACACGGCCCAUACUCCUACGGGAGGCAGCAGUAGGGAAUUUUGCGCAAUGGGGGAAACCCUGAACCGCAGCAACGCCGCGUGACCGAUGAAGCCCUUCGGGGUGUAAAGGUCUGUCAGUGGGGACGAAAGAUGACGGUACCCACAGAGGAAGCACCGGCUAACUCCGUGCCAGCCGCGGC
Molecule: ribosomal RNA, 480 nt
Filed under: uncultured bacterium
Lineage: Bacteria
Description: bacterial SSU rRNA
Rfam family: Bacterial small subunit ribosomal RNA
Source: RNAcentral